This 468-nucleotide ribosomal RNA is filed under the name uncultured bacterium. Its description in RNAcentral is "partial 16S ribosomal RNA". It matches the Rfam family "Bacterial small subunit ribosomal RNA", at positions 28 to 507 of the family's 1533-position model. The record is from RNAcentral.
GACGAACGCUGGCGGCGUGCUUAACACAUGCAAAUCGAACGGAAAGGCCCUGCUUUUGUGGGGUGCUCGAGUGGCGAACGGGUGAGUAACACGUGAGUAACCUGCCCUUGACUUUGGGAUAACUUCAGGAAACUGGGGCUAAUACCGGAUAGGAGCUCCUGCUGCAUGGUGGGGGUUGGAAAGUUUCGGCGGUUGGGGAUGGACUCGCGGCUUAUCAGCUUGUUGGUGGGGUAGUGGCUUACCAAGGCUUUGACGGGUAGCCGGCCUGAGAGGGUGACCGGCCACAUUGGGACUGAGAUACGGCCCAGACUCCUACGGGAGGCAGCAGUGGGGAAUAUUGCAUAAUGGGCGGAAGCCUGAUGCAGCAACGCCGCGUGCGGGAUGACGGCCUUCGGGUUGUAAACCGCUUUCGCCUGUGACGAAGCGUGAGUGACGGUAAUGGGUAAAGAAGCACCGGCUAACUACGUG